GCGAGGAUGGCGGAAUUGGCAGACGCGCUGGAUUUAGGAUCCAGUCCCGUAAGGGGUGGGGGUUCGACUCCCCCUCCUCGCA
RNAcentral lists this transfer RNA (82 nucleotides) under Caldifarciminota bacterium. RNAcentral's name for it is "candidate division WOR-3 bacterium (hot springs metagenome) tRNA-Leu". It matches the Rfam family "tRNA". From Rfam's summary of the family: Transfer RNA (tRNA) molecules are approximately 80 nucleotides in length. Their secondary structure includes four short double-helical elements and three loops (D, anti-codon, and T loops). The record is from RNAcentral. Lineage: Bacteria; Pseudomonadati; Caldifarciminota.